CUGCCAAGUCUGUUAGAAGACCGAGACGUAUUUUUUAAAAGCGUGUUGUGUCGCUCAUACUGACUCUAGCGAGUAAAGUCAGACGACAGUCGAAAUGGUCGUAGAUCUACCCCCUUUAUUUCCAGGAAUAUUCCUAUCUCUGGUAUUUCUAUAUGGAAUCGAGGCUUUCAUAGGAGAAAAUAAUUGUGGAUCCAGUACAUACAAUGCUACGAGCAUGUGUUGUGGUGGACAGAUAGUUAGUAGACCGACAACCGAUUUAACUGGAAGCAGUUCAGUAUGUUGUGGCAACAGUAGUUUUGACAAACGAUCGAGCAUGUGCUGCCGUGGGAAAAUCCUCAGAGUACCAGCAGCUUGUACUGGAUCCAAUAGAAUAUUUGCCAGCUGUUGUGGUUUGUAUAGUUUAGAUGUAAGAUAUUACCAAUGCUGUGGAGGCCAGGUUGUUCAAAGCCCACCAUUCUGGCCAGAGAAUAUCCAUUUCAAGUGUUGCGGAACCAGUGGAUAUGAUGACAGAAAACUCAUGUGCUGUGCGGAUCAUGUUGUUAAUAGACCAGCAACAGACUCUAAUUCAAUGUGCUGUGGCAUUUCUAGUUAUGACACUCGUACCACCAAAUGUUGUGAUGGCAAACUGUGUUAGUGAUCAGUUCAUACAUAAUGCCAUGAUUUUUAUGUAAAUAAAUUUAUGGAAAGCAGUAAAUAUACAAUAAAG
Long non-coding RNA from Patella vulgata (common limpet), 706 nucleotides. RefSeq lists it as uncharacterized. The record is from RefSeq and is a predicted model, not a curated record. The transcript is spliced from 3 exons. NCBI's taxonomy places the organism in Eukaryota, Metazoa, Mollusca, Gastropoda, Patellidae.